RNAcentral lists this ribosomal RNA (596 nucleotides) under Yersinia intermedia. Its description in RNAcentral is "bacterial SSU rRNA". It matches the Rfam family "Bacterial small subunit ribosomal RNA", at positions 64 to 649 of the family's 1533-position model. Lineage: Bacteria; Pseudomonadati; Pseudomonadota; Gammaproteobacteria; Enterobacterales; Yersiniaceae. The record is from RNAcentral.
GAGCGGCAGCGGGAAGUAGUUUACUACUUUGCCGGCGAGCGGCGGACGGGUGAGUAAUGUCUGGGAAACUGCCUGAUGGAGGGGGAUAACUACUGGAAACGGUAGCUAAUACCGCAUGACCUCGCAAGAGCAAAGUGGGGGACCUUCGGGCCUCACGCCAUCGGAUGUGCCCAGAUGGGAUUAGCUAGUAGGUGGGGUAAUGGCUCACCUAGGCGACGAUCCCUAGCUGGUCUGAGAGGAUGACCAGCCACACUGGAACUGAGACACGGUCCAGACUCCUACGGGAGGCAGCAGUGGGGAAUAUUGCACAAUGGGCGCAAGCCUGAUGCAGCCAUGCCGCGUGUGUGAAGAAGGCCUUCGGGUUGUAAAGCACUUUCAGCGAGGAGGAAGGCAGUCGUGUUAAUAGCACGAUUGAUUGACGUUACUCGCAGAAGAAGCACCGGCUAACUCCGUGCCAGCAGCCGCGGUAAUACGGAGGGUGCAAGCGUUAAUCGGAAUUACUGGGCGUAAAGCGCACGCAGGCGGUUUGUUAAGUCAGAUGUGAAAUCCCCGCGCUUAACGUGGGAACUGCAUUUGAAACUGGCAAGCUAGAGUCU